AGCUAUGAGUUGAAAGAGAUGUUAUCAGUCCUUUCCAAUUCAGAUUUAGUACUCCAGAAGUUUGCCUCAAAAUACUGCAUUUCUAUAACACACUGUCUACCUUGGCUCAUUAAAAAAAAAAAAAAAAAAAAAAAAAAAACUCUUCUUUUAACUUCAAACAACUCCGAAGAUUGUUUUCCCACAGAAUUCUAAAGAUUUUGUGACUUGUUUGUGAAGCAAUUAACUUGGACUUUCAGAAAUUUGUUCUAGAACUCUGAGAUGUCUUCAGUUUACAAGUCUGUUGCCCUAGGUGAUAGAUUCAAUCUUUUAAGUCUGUUGAUUGUAUAUACUGGAAUAUAUGUUUAGUGGGUUACAAACCCAAUUUAUCUUUUUCAAUUUAAUUUUGUUUUAUAUGUUGGGUAUGGCUCUGACUACCACUCCUAAGAAAAACAUCUUAGCCUAAAGAAAGAAAUAAGUUAUGAAUGAAAAAAGCAAGUGAUAGAAGAAUACAUAUGGUAUGAUUCACAGAAGAAUACUUGCAAUGUGAUCCAUUUAUAAAAUGUUCUAAAAGAGACAAACCAACAAUAUAUUGUCUAGGGAUACAGUCAAAGGACAGGGAAUGAUUACAACAAAAAUCAAGUUUUUCAAGUCGCACUACAGAUGGCUGGUUGGAGGAUUGCACAGCUGGAGUCCCAACAGUAACAUUCAGGUCUGG
RNAcentral lists this long non-coding RNA (694 nucleotides) under Homo sapiens (human). Its description in RNAcentral is "HSALNT0308354". The record is from RNAcentral. Lineage: Eukaryota; Metazoa; Chordata; Mammalia; Primates; Hominidae.